Molecule: ribosomal RNA, 119 nt
Filed under: Deinococcus pimensis
Lineage: Bacteria; Thermotogati; Deinococcota; Deinococci; Deinococcales; Deinococcaceae
Source: RNAcentral
ACCUCCGUGCUCACAGCGCUGUGGACCCACCCCAUCCCAUUCCGAACUGGGUCGUGAAACGCAGCUGCGCCGAUGGUACUUGGACGGCAGCGUCCCGGGAGAGUAGGUCGGUGCGGAGG